Molecule: ribosomal RNA, 151 nt
Filed under: Escherichia coli
Lineage: Bacteria; Pseudomonadati; Pseudomonadota; Gammaproteobacteria; Enterobacterales; Enterobacteriaceae
Description: partial 16S ribosomal RNA
Rfam family: Bacterial small subunit ribosomal RNA
Source: RNAcentral
UUAAAUUGAAGAGUUUGAUCAUGGCUCAGAUUGAACGCUGGCGGCAGGCCUAACACAUGCAAGUCGAACGGUAACAGGAAGAAGCUUGCUUCUUUGCUGACGAGUGGCGGACGGGUGAGUAAUGUCUGGGAAACUGCCUGAUGGAGGGGGA